UGUAUGCAUUGUCGUACACGUGUUGUUUGUGCUUUGCUUCACUGUCUUCUCAGCCAAUAAUAUUCUAAUUUCUGUAACCCACCGCCAUUGAUCCGACUGUCACCGCUUAUCAAUACAGGUUCCCCUUUCGUUGAAUUUUUCUCCUAAAUCCGAAAUCGCUGACUGUCUUCUUCUGCUCACUGCCGCUUCCUCCAUUCAUAUGUGUUCUGCUCCUACUCUUCUUCAUGUCACGAAUUCUUUCCAUCUGAUCCAUCUUUCUCCGGUGAGAUCGUCGGCCCUCACUACGGCGGCUGCCUAGCGCCGCCAUACCCAAUAUUCUCUCCAUUUGUGCUACUGACAGCAGCCCAACACUAAAGACCAAGUGCUGCUUCUCAUUAUUACAUUCUCAAAUGUCUUUCUACAAGUAAAUGUGAUUGACGCUUCCCGAGGGUUUUGCACAUUUGCCUCCAUCUAAUUUUCCACCUGCGAUUCUUCUGUUGUUCAGGGUUAUAUUGGGUCAUUGUGGUUCUGAUCAGAAAUACAGAUUCCUCAAAGCCAUCCCGACCUUCCAGGGUUCUAUUAUGACGUAGAGAAGAACAUAUAUUUUCCUGUAAAAUCACCAAUUCCAGGUUCUUCUUCUAGGAACAACUCUUCUGCUUCAACCAGCGCUCAAAAACCACCCCCGAAACCCAACAACAAGACGACAUAUGCAGCCAAAGUUGUCAAGAUGCUUCAUGUUAAGGAGCUAUGUGGUGAUUCAAUCAGCUGUAAAAAAAGAAGGUCAACUUUCAAGAGCAAUACCAAAAGAUACAUACAUCAAGACCUAUAAUUUGGAAAUAUAGAGGGUUGCUGAUGCUGCAUUAGAACACAUAUGCUUAGAUGUUUAGACUCCAAAUAGGCUUAUAUAAAAAGGUACCAUUUUUCACACCAGUCACCAAUCAUUAUCAUCUUCUGAUCCAGUCUGUGAUUUCGAUUUAGAAGAGAGAAGGAUUAGUAAUUGGCUUUGCGGGAAAGUGCAUGAGAUCGAGAAGCAAGAAGAGGGGUCGUCUUUUUCAAUGUUGAGAAUGACAACUUGGGAUACACACACAAAUAAAUAGAUGGUCCAAGAAGUUUAUGGGGCUUUAAUUUCGUUUAUGUGGGUUGGGCUGCCAUUGAUGAGGCUAACCAAUAGGUAUUUGUUUCUACUCAAAUUCUUUGAACAAUCUGGAAAAGGUAGUGCAUAAGGUUGCUCCGAGCUCAUAAGUAAUGGGCAGGAAAUCCGGGAAGAAAGUGGGAAUGGUGACAACUGUUCUUGGGCCUCAUGGGGUUGGGCUAAUUAGGCUUGAGGAAGCUUUCAAAGGGUCAGGGAAUUUAGUAAUCAGAGGAGAAGAAGAAGAUGUGAGGGUGGUGACUGAAACAUUUCCAUUAUCUCUCCGUGUGUGUGUGUAACUUUUUGACCGGUAUGUAAAUAAAGAUGAAAUAGCAACGAUAGGGUUUUGGAGUUGGCUGAUAUGGUUGAUAUAGGAAGAUAAGUCGUAGGCAUGAGGCAAGGGACGCAUACCAUGUGUUUGAUAAGAAUCCCCAACGAAAGUGCAUUUCAAAUGGACAAGUGUAGCUGACUGGCAUUGACCUUUUUAGCUUUUUUUUUGGGAAAAUCUUUCCUAAUCUAUGAUUAGGUAUGCAAUUGCCAUUAAUCUCAGUUCAUAUUAUCUAUAUGUUUAUAUUUUUGGGAAUUUUCACAUUAGUUUUUUCAUUGGCUAUAUUGGGUCCAUAUUUUAUAUGCGAUUAUGGAG
Molecule: non-coding RNA, 1751 nt
Organism: Lactuca sativa (garden lettuce)
Lineage: Eukaryota; Viridiplantae; Streptophyta; Magnoliopsida; Asterales; Asteraceae
Source: RefSeq, a predicted model, not a curated record